AAAACAUGAAUAUUAAAUUUGCAUAAACUUACCCAUAAUUGGGUAGUAAUCAAAGUGGAGAAUUUACAAUUUAUUUCUGUCACAACAUUACAGAAAGUUACAAGAACUAAAAAAAAUAUUGUACCCUUUCAAAGGGGAGUAAUCCAGAUUAUGUCUAAUAGCAUAAUGAUGGCAACAUCUAUAGCUAUUGGAUAUCAUAUGCGGUAGCAUGAAUAGUUGGAGCUCAGGGAAAGCCAAGCAUGAUCAACACCCACGAAGAAAUUCCCAUUGCCUUCGUGUCAUAUGAGCAAAUACAAUUUAGUUUUCAGAGCUUAUUGCAUCUACUUCUGUUGCAAAUUAAGGCCCCAAUGAGUAACAUGUCACUGUAUGACCAAUCAUCAAGCAUUGAUGCCUUGCAUAGCCAUGAACUGGCAUUCAUGCCAUCCUCAUCAAAAUAGCAUGAAUAAAUCAACACAUUGAGAUUAAGUAUAUAAAUUGACAAAAUAUGCCACCUUUAUAAACAAUAUCCAAGUGCCUUGUUGUAAUUGAUCCCAGAUAACCCAGCCUACAUGGAUAAUAUAUAUUUGUAAGUGAUCACGGAGCUUUGGCAGCCAAGAUAUAUUUUAGUGCCCUGCAAUCAGCUCCUUUCUCCCUCUCUGCAAAAAGAGUACAUGAGAAAUUUUGUAAUAUAUGUUCGCUAAACAAAAUGCAUUAUAAAAUAAGACAAUCUACAGUAAUAAUAUGAGACUAUACGUCUAUACAAACCUACAGUUUCAGAUUUCCUAGUUCGAAGCCAUUUUUUCACUUAUUAUGAAGUUGACCCAUACAUAUUGCACAGAUGUCAUUCUUUCUUCAAUCAAUCUCAUAAAAAAAAUACAAAUACAAAGUAGAGAUUGACCAUCAACUUAUUACUCUAAUCUGCUGAGAAAAAUAAAAAAUGAGGCAUCACUCAGAAGAAAACUGAUGUGUUAUUUAUUUCGUAUAGACCACCAGUUUAUGUUUAGGUUGAAGUUUUCCAACUGAGGAAAGUAGACAAUGAAAUUGAUGAGCAAUUAAAUAGUACAAUCAAACCUUCUCUUCAACACUACUCUAUUUCUAGUCAAUAGGCUUCGACAUGGGUGAACUUGACUGGACGAUGGUAAGAGUAGUAGCAGGAAGCUAUAAACCAUAUCAAGAUCAAUCAUACAGUCCAAAAUGGUCAUCAUCAGAGUGCAAAAAAUCAGGAACCUUAAAACAAUGGAGCUCAAAUUUGAGAAGGAUCUUUAGUUGUCGCCUAGCCGCUACCGCUGAAAGAGGUGCAGGACCAGCCAAACCCACAUAUGGACUGGGAUGGCACCCGCAGGGUAUGGGUACGGGUGGAGCUACCCCAUACCCUUACCCGUCCGUCCUGAGUUUACCCAUCACCCAUACCCAUACCCGUCAAGGGUACAAUUUUUUCCCAUACUCGUCACCCGACAGGGUAUAUGGGUAUCCGCGGGUAAAAAUACCCGUGUUUACAACACAUCAAUUGAGUAGAAAAUAGUUGUAAAAAGCAACAUAUAAUCAUAAAUUAUUAAUAGCAACACAUUUUAAACAACAAUGUACAACAACAUAUUGUAACAACAACAUAUUCUCAUAAACAAAAAUACUUGCCUAUAAAGUGACAUAUAAAAAUGUUAAACAACAACACAUAAUCAUAGAUAACAACACAUGUGCAUACACUUUAAGUUCAUGAAAUCAUGAUAAAUUAUAGUGAUAAUUUGAAUACACAUUAGAUUUUACCUAGCGUGAUUAGGAGGGGAAUUGAAUACAUUGGGAUAUUAACGGAAAUCCACCUGUCAACAUUUUAGAUGGGUACAUGGGUACGCGGGCAUGGGUUAUACGAUCCCAUACCCGUACCCUCUCUACCCGAUGGGUAUGAUAUUUUCCCAUUUAAGUACCCAUGGGUAAUUUUUUGUCCCAUACCCUUACCUUAAUAUGGUUUUUACUCACAGGGUACGCGCGUAAUGGGUACCCAUUGCCAUCCCUAUAUGGACAUGACGGUCAACGGGCUAACCGCUCAGACCCACCGUUACUUCAACAGAACCAUCUCAGUUCUCAAGCUCAUCGUCUCCAACAGUCGAAUGCCAAGAUGUCUGACUACCUAUUUGGGAUAGGAGUUACAGGGAGUGCCUAAUUUUUAUGUAUCUGUAUUAAUUUACUUUUCUUCAGGUUCUAUCUCUCAACUGAGUAAUCUAAUGCAGAAUGUUGAUUAGUGUGUUAUCUCUGCUCAUAGGAAAUUCAUGUCUAAUCCAUCUUCCAUGUUUUCAUGUUAUAUUCAGAUGAAUCAGAUCUUUACAUAAUGCUACUUUUUGGGAUACUGCAUCCGAGGAUUCUUUUGAAGAUGCACGGCACACGGAAUACCUUUUGCCUUGAUAUGCGGCUCAAGAACUGUUGAUAGUGCUCUAAUCAGCAACACCUCACUACCGCCCCGUGGAAACAAUGCCUCUACUCUACCUAGAACGACUCUUCCUAAUUAAAAUUCUCUGACAGAAAUAUUCACUGGAGGGACGGGGAUCAAUAUAACCCAUCUUGAUCCAGAUCCAAAAGAAUAUCAUUCUUGAUUUGGGACGAAGGCAGGGUUCUUGGAACCAGGAAAUCAAGAGGCAGACUAACUACAUGUGUUGAAUUAGCUGAUGAGAAGAUGAGACAAAGGGAGUAGUACCUGUUGGGCGGAAGCAUGACGGCCAUCUGGACGAUUGCUCGCCUAGGGAUGCCGGUUCCACCAGCAGCACUGCCAAGUCAUGGUGGGAUCUGCCACUCAAGUUGAAGGUCGUGGUAGGGGGACACGCUCGUUGCCAUGGCACUGGUCCGG
This 2812-nucleotide long non-coding RNA is filed under the name Triticum aestivum (bread wheat). RNAcentral's name for it is "long non-coding RNA (TAES_LNC011384)". The record is from RNAcentral. Lineage: Eukaryota; Viridiplantae; Streptophyta; Magnoliopsida; Poales; Poaceae.